This 305-nucleotide ribosomal RNA is filed under the name uncultured bacterium. RNAcentral describes it as "bacterial SSU rRNA". It matches the Rfam family "Bacterial small subunit ribosomal RNA", at positions 334 to 655 of the family's 1533-position model. The record is from RNAcentral.
UUUGCCUACGGGGGGCAGCAGUGGGGGAUAUUGCACAAUGGGGGAAACCCUGAUGCAGCGACGCCGCGUGUGGGAAGACGGUCCUCUGGAUUGUAAACUACUGUCCCCAGGGACGAAGAUGACGGUACCUGGGGAGGAAGCUCCGGCUAACUACGUGCCAGCAGCCGCGGUAAUACGUAGGGGGCAAGCGUUAUCCGGAUUUACUGGGUGUAAAGGGAGCGUAGACGGCCAGACAAGUCUGAAGUGAAAAUCCAGCGCUUAACGUUGGAAGUGCUUUGGAGACUGCCGGGCGAGAGUGCAGGAGG